This 1278-nucleotide long non-coding RNA is filed under the name Sparus aurata (gilthead seabream). Its description in RNAcentral is "lncRNA (ENSSAUG00010007334.1)". The record is from RNAcentral. Lineage: Eukaryota; Metazoa; Chordata; Actinopteri; Spariformes; Sparidae.
CAGGAUCCACCCAGUGAACGCGACGUGAACCUGAGAACUUCAUUCACAUCAUACGCCAACAUUCGGAACACAAACCGGGAGCGGCGCCUGCUCCUCACAGCAUCGUCACAAUUACCGUGAAGUGGCGUUUUGGCAAAACUGCACCGAUCUGGCUUUGAAAUGUCGCUCAGAGCCAAAUCCCACACCGACCUGCAGACGGCUGGGAGGUCUCCGUUAGACGACAGCCUGUACAAGUCGUUCUCCAUGAGCAGCAGUAACAUGAACAGAGGCAGUCGGUUUGGAAACGGGACAGCGGAAGAGGUCAAAGGUCUCUCCAGACCGUCCAGGAGGCCUGUGAGGGUGGUCAGGCCAGUCAGCGCCAUCAGCUCCAAUGGUUCGUUCCUCCAGAUCAACCAUCUGCAAGGAGAGCUGGUCCGAAAGAGGAAGGAAUGCGAGGAUCUGAGGAAAGAAAACAAGUACUUAUCAAAUGAGAUCCACAUGGAGCGGAUCAUGAUGCGCACAGAGAAUGAGCUGACCAUGAGGAACCUCAGGAACCUGAACCAGGAGCUGCAGGCUCAAGUCAAAGAGCUGAAGCAGAAGCUGUAUCAGAGCCAGCAGAGGGCGACGUUGUGCUCACGAGCUGCAGACGAGGCAGAGGAGUCCAGACGGGAUGCCGAGAAGAGCAGGGCCCUGGCCGAGGCCCGGGCCCUCGGGUGUCAGCGGGACAAGGAGGUAGCAGAGGCUGACAGGGGCCGUCUGAGUGAAGAGCUGCAGCAGCUUAAAAAAGAGCACACUGAUCUGCAGCUAUUACUUGCACAAACAGAGAAGAGUUAUUUUGAGACCAAGCUGAAGUUGGACCGAGUGUCCGGGGAGAAACAGGCCCUGCUGCAGGAGAACAGGAAUCUUGAGGGAGACAAAGACAACCUCCGACACAAGCUGAGACAGACCACAGAGGAAAAUGUCAAAAUUAAAGAGAGUGAGGUGAAUUCGAGGCACAGAGCAAUGGCAUCGGAGGAGGAGAGCAAAAAAGCCAACCAGGCUCAGCGAGAGGCCGAAGCAGAGAGGCGUCUGGCCGAGAAGGAGAGGCAGGAGAGAACGGCCGAGUGUCUCAGCUGGAGAGAGAAGCACCAGGAGCUAGCCAACAGGUUCAGAGCGCAGGAGGACCUGAAGUCUCUGAGGCAGAGCAAAGCAUGUCAGGCCAACAUCAAGAGUUAUUUCCUCUGCAAGACAGAAAGCGAUCAGAGGGUGAAAAUUCUCCGAAACCAAGACGGCACCCCGAGAAACUUCACGGUGAGAUGA